Molecule: ribosomal RNA, 253 nt
Filed under: uncultured bacterium
Lineage: Bacteria
Description: partial 16S ribosomal RNA
Rfam family: Bacterial small subunit ribosomal RNA
Source: RNAcentral
UACGAAGGGGGCUAGCGUUGUUCGGAAUUACUGGGCGUAAAGCGCACGUAGGCGGAUAUUUAAGUCAGGGGUGAAAUCCCAGAGCUCAACUCUGGAACUGCCUUUGAUACUGGGUAUCUUGAGUAUGGAAGAGGUAAGUGGAAUUGCGAGUGUAGAGGUGAAAUUCGUAGAUAUUCGCAGGAACACCAGUGGCGAAGGCGGCUUACUGGUCCAUAACUGACGCUGAGGUGCGAAAGCCAGGGGAGCAAACGGG